This 108-nucleotide unclassified non-coding RNA is filed under the name Chryseobacterium rhizoplanae. RNAcentral's name for it is "Flavo-1 RNA". The record is from RNAcentral. Lineage: Bacteria; Pseudomonadati; Bacteroidota; Flavobacteriia; Flavobacteriales; Weeksellaceae.
CUUUAGCCCCGAUAGCAGUGGUUACCCCGGAACAUGAGUGAGAGCGUUGGAGGGUAAGGUUGGGGGAUAGUUUGGCGUGAGGAGUAUGAGCGGAUAGCGGGAAUAAGC